Triticum aestivum (bread wheat) is the source of this 2612-nucleotide long non-coding RNA. RefSeq lists it as uncharacterized. NCBI's taxonomy places the organism in Eukaryota, Viridiplantae, Streptophyta, Magnoliopsida, Poales, Poaceae. The record is from RefSeq and is a predicted model, not a curated record. The transcript has 3 exons.
AGGAGUGUCCAUCCACAUGUUUUAUACUCCUACCUAUCUUCCUCAUCCUCCAUCUUGCCACAUCUUUUCUUUUGGACGUCAAUGACUUUGGUGACCCUUCCAAGUUUGAAUCAGUGUAAAAGAAUUGGGUCCUAUCAGAUCCAUCCUCUCCUGCAGGCUGUGAUCCCGCUUCUCUCCACUAGAAAUCUCGAUUCUAAUCAGUUUUCAAGUUCUUGCCAUGGAGUAAUCUAACAUCUACUUUCAAUCCAGCAGAUGAAUUUGUCCCAGCAUAGUUGAUGCAGCGGAGUUGUACCAACGACAGUUUGAGGCAUGCACAUGUCUCCUGCAGGACUCUCCGCCUUAAUUCCAUAGAAGAAAAACUUAUCCCUAAAAGGCCCACCGUCAUGCCCACAGGCUAUGGUUUCCUUCUGUUCGUCGUGUCUCCCGACCGGAUCAUCAUCGAGCGUUCCCUACAGCCUCUCUUGAUUCCAUCCAUGCUGGAAUCAAUCAAAAAGACAGAGUUCUGUUCUCGGCAGAAUCGAUCAAGAAAGGUAUCGAUUGGCUGAUGUGUACAUGAGUGUACUAGCCUCUGGACGUCAACUUGCUUCAUCGUCACCGUCAAAUUAAUCAAACACCUACUUUUAGGCUGCUAAUGAAGUGCGUGCCAGUUCUAUUCUCGGCGGAAUCAAUUAAGAAAGGUAUCGAUUGGCUGAUGUGUACAUGAGUGUACUAGCUUCUGGACGUCAACUUGCUUCGUCAUCACCGCCGUACGCACUCGAGCUGGCAUUGUCUUACACAAACACUACACGUGAUUAUGUUCCUCUCCAAUCAUUGAAAUCUGGAAUCUCAUUAGCUUUCAAUUUCUUGACAUGCAGAAAUUAAUCAAACACCUACUUUUAGGCUGCUAAUGAUUUUAUCCAAUGAAGGUUGAUAUAGAGAAGUAAGCGUACCAUCCAAUAUUAGAAACAUAUUGGACGUCCCUCACAGUCGACAAGGCUGCCGAGCUAAGAGCUGUGGUAGACUGGUGGUGGAGAUGUUUACUUGCUGGACACUGUUCGAUUUUGUCACUGCAUCCACUUGGCAAGUAACUCAGAACCCUUGAACCUCCUACUCAUAAUUUUACUCAUAUAGUUUAUCUUUAAUACUCUGUCCACAGGGUUGACUCUAGCUUUGCAAUUUUGACGGCAGAUUUGUGGCAAGUGCAAUGCAUGUGUAGGUAAAUUGGCUGGACUAAUACUGAUUUCUUCCAUCUAUUGAUGUUUUGAAAACAGAAAAAUGGGGCCGGUGCACAUUGUGGGCAAGCAUUGACAGCUCAUAUUGUUGGUGUGUGAUAACAGUUACUUCAGGGUAUUUACGUUAACAUUUUGAAACAUUUUACAUACAUCUAAUAUUAUGAGUUCUCGAAUGGUAUAGAAAAUGGACUGACAUAUCAUGGUUUUGCGUACAGAAACUUUGACUUGAUUCGAGGACUAAGCAUUCAACAUGAUUCAGUUUUUAGUCCAUGCAUAUUGUUCAUUUGAGAAGUUACUAGAUGAACUCAAAGAACAUUCUAUAGUUAGCGAGCAAGCACACCGAAGCGCAUAAAUCAUAGAGUUUUUAAGGAAAUCUAGAACAACAUUUUACUGGACUAUAUAGUGCAUUAGUUUUUCUUUACGUUUAGAAUGUUAUCUUGGAUUUUAAUUAAAUGGCAGUCUAGAAUUUUUAACAAGGCACACGUUAUAUUCUGCAGAUUUUAUAUUUUAGAUAGGAUACUAUGAGGGACUACUCAGUUUUCAUUUCUUUCGGGCAUACACAUCUUCACUAUUACAAAUGAAACAUGCAGCUACAACAAGUUUGAUAUUACACAAUUAUCACAGUUUUCUAACAGUGUGCCUAUGUUUAGUUGCGGUCACGCUUUUCUGAGACCAAGUUCCAUAUUCUCCACUCUUCUCCCACGAUAGAAUGUGCUUAAUUUCUCUAGAUAAACAAAUGAAGAUGUCUCUUUAUGUCUAUUCCUCUGAUACGAUGACAUAAUGCAUAUAAACCACACAUAUGUACCAGCUAGAGGCACUUCUCUUUCUGCCAAAGAGUUAACCUACUUCUCUUUCCGUCAAAGAUUAACCUACAAUUACGACACCUCCUGGCCCCAGGGUUAUUGCACAUAUUAACCUAUAUUAUUAGAAAUAGGGAGCUUACUCAUUAUAACCAAUCACUCCAAGCUUUCUUUUGCAUGGUUGUCACAUUAUUUUAUUUAUUACAAAGCAUUAGGUUUACAAUAUAGUCUUAUUACUGAUAUUUUGUGUAAUUUUGUUAUUCAAGAUUGAAUAAGUACACAUAUAUUAACAUUUACGAUAAGCAUACAAAAUAUAAAAAUGGGGUGUUACAUCUUUUACUUAUAUAUCCAUGGAAAUGUGUAAAUUAAGAGUUUCUAUCACCAAAGUGCAUUUAUAUAUGUUGUUCAUAAUAUAUCUCUUUUUAUAAACUAUGAUCAUAAUAUAUCUGAUUUCACACAAAAAGUAAUAAAAACAUAAAAUCAAAUCUAUAUAUAGCUAGCCCGUGCGAAUGCAUGGGUUGACGACUAGUUAUGAUAAUUGCUCUUUGAUAGAUUGUAUUUCCUUGUUGCAAUACGUGCUAAAUUCUCCUCAUCCCUAUAG